GAACUAGUUAUAAAACAGACUAAAUUAAAAAACUUGGAGAAACAAGGCGCGGAGCAUCCAAGACUAACCAUGAAAAGCAAAAAGGACUCAAACACAAGGGAUCAAGAACUGAGGGUUCAGGGAACACAGAACAAAAUAUAAGAGACGGAAUUCCAAGAACAGGCAACAUAUGAAAUUGCAGCCAGCGAACAAAACACGAUCUAACACAGCGCACCCAAGUUUUAAGCCAAAAACCCAAAGGGAAACGCCCCUACUUGAGAUAAGACAACAGCAGACCCAAACCAAACCUCCGCCAACCAACAAGUAGCGCCAGCAUAUGAGCUUAAUUAAGC
This 332-nucleotide unclassified non-coding RNA is filed under the name Hevea brasiliensis (rubber tree). The record is from RNAcentral. Lineage: Eukaryota; Viridiplantae; Streptophyta; Magnoliopsida; Malpighiales; Euphorbiaceae.